Mustela putorius furo (domestic ferret) is the source of this 1974-nucleotide long non-coding RNA. The record is from Ensembl. NCBI's taxonomy places the organism in Eukaryota, Metazoa, Chordata, Mammalia, Carnivora, Mustelidae.
CUGCCAGUUCCUGAAUGCAGUCAAGCAGCUCUGUGGAGAGCCCGCAGCUGGUGUGAAGUCAGGCACCACCAGCAAGCACGAGUGAGCUUAGCAGCGGGUCCUCUAGCUCCAUCAAGCCUUCCGCCCACCUUAGCCCUUGCUAGUGUCUUUUUUUGCAGCUUUGUGAAAGACCCGGAGUCAGAGCCACCCAGUUAAGCUUGUUUCUUGGCUGUGAUGAAAACACACUGUGGGCACAGCAUUCACCUGGGCUGCUCAGGAUCACCCCCAUGGGACUUGGGGGUGGGGAAAGGAAACAUAAAGGUGAAACACAUGUUUGCUGGACGGUUUCUGCCAAGAGGAAGAACAUGAAAUAUAAUCUGGCCUCAAUCCUACCAUUUUUUGGAACUCUGUGGAAAAGCAAUAACAAGCAAUUGUAUAAUAAGGCAUUGUUCCUGUUUACUGAGUGGGACACUGCCUGGCAGACCUGGUUAAAAUUAGGGACGGGAAGGGUGAAGAAGAUGAUAAAGGAAAGUCAUUCUGUCUAAAUAAGAUCUGUCUUUGCUAUAGAGGCCUGGCUGAUCCGAUUAAUCAGUUUCUUUUUAUCUUAAAAUUUCACGGUUAAAAAUUAAUUAAUUCAUUUGCCGUUUGCUUUUUUUGAGCACCUUCUCUAUACAAAGAACUUUUAGCUAAGCAAUGCAUUUCUUUUCUUGUAAAAACAGCAAGUCUUGCCAAGUGCUGUCUUUAUUCAACAAAGGAAAGAAAAACCUGUGCUUUCUUUGUUUGCAGUGGUGCAGAUUUGCUUUCAGUAUUUGGAGUUCAACCUUUGAAUAAGAUAUUUUUUUCUUUUCCAACAGAUCAUUGUCAACAUGUGGCUUCUUUUGGCUAUUAUCUAGUAUCUUCCUAGAGAACUCUUCAUUCACUCUUUCCAGAUUAGAAAAGAUCGAUUUAGGAGACUAAUAAAAAGUCACCAAAAUGAUCUGAAAGGGGAAAAAAAAAAAGCAACUCUCAGGAGAAGGGUAGUUCUUGUUUCAAUGGAAUGUUAGAACCAUUAAGUUUCUCUUCAAUGAGUCUCUCUCCCCGCUCUGAUUCUCACUGGAUUAGUAAAGUGCCACCAUUUGAGACAGGACAUUUCUUCAGCUGUUAAUGUGACACCAUUUGAAUAUUAUGAAUCCUGCUUUUUCUUUUUCUUUGUUGUGAUGUUUAUGCUUGAUAUGUUUUUUCUAAACUAUUUCUUAAUGCCAGAGGUAUAAAUUGGACAAUGUUACUGAAAAUGUAGCAGUGAUAUUGCUUAGUUUGACACCCACAGGAAUCUGACAGGGAUGCUUUUAUUCUGUGAAUUAUAAAGAUUGUGUUAUAUUUAUAGAAAUGAUAAGUCUUUCAAAAUCAUGAAAAUGAGCCUUGAACAAUCUGAGGUGUGGAGUUUUAUGCCUUUGUUGGUCUCUGGUCUCUCUUCCAGUCUUCACUCAAUGUAAGCCAGGCCACUUAUUUGUACUUUCAUUUCUACACAUAAUGUAAUUUGUAAAUAUCAGUAACAAGAAAUUUUUUUUUCAUAUGGAAAAGAAUGUUCUCUUUUUAUGAUAGUUUAUAGAAGGAUAGUUGAUUAAAAGUCCAAAGUGCUUCUGCUUUUAUAAAAUAAUAGCUUGAGAGUUGAUAAUGUCUGUAGUCUCCCCUUUUAAAAAAAGUAAUAUUUCUAUUCGAAGAGUUGUCCCAUGAAUAAAUUUUCAUGCUCCCUUCCCCUGUCGUAAGGAUAUUUUCUGUAUUUUCUUAGUUUGAGAAGAGUAUCUUUAGCAGUUUCUUUGAUUAAAGUAGGGAAUAUUCUAGGCAGCCUUCAAAAUGCUGUGUAAAUUUUCAACUCAGCACCUGGCUCUUGUGUUUUCUUCUCUAGCGAUGCAAUCCCAAACUUAACUGUAGCAGAUAGCACACUCAGUGCCGGCGAGUCUUCUGGACUUUCUACAUCUUGUCUGAUUUAGCCUGCAUUGAAGUAUCCCUUCUUUU